This 334-nucleotide ribosomal RNA is filed under the name uncultured eukaryote. RNAcentral's name for it is "partial 18S ribosomal RNA". It matches the Rfam family "Eukaryotic small subunit ribosomal RNA", at positions 1470 to 1796 of the family's 1831-position model. The record is from RNAcentral.
CCCUUAGAUGUCCGGGGCCGCACGCGCGCUACACUGAAGGAAUCAGCGUGGCUUUCUCCCUGACCCGAAAGGGUUGGGAAACCCGUUGAAUCUCCUUCGUGAUAGGGAUUGGGGCUUGAAAUUGUUCCCCAUGAACGAGGAAUUCCCAGUAAGCGCGAGUCAUAAGCUCGCGUUGAUUACGUCCCUGCCCUUUGUACACACCGCCCGUCGCUACUACCGAUUGAACGGUUUAGUGAGGGCCUCGGAUUGGUCUCGGCCCGCUCUUUACCGGGCGGCGCCGUUGGUCGAGAAGACGCUCGAUCUUGAUCGUAUAGAGGAAGUAAAAGUCGUAACA